AUUGAACGCUGGCGGCAGGCCUAACACAUGCAAGUCGAGCGGAUGAAGGGAACUUGCUCCUGGAUUCAGCGGCGGACGGGUGGGUGAUGCCUAGGAAUCUGCCUGGUAGUGGGGUCUAGCGUCCGGAAACGGGCGCUAAUACCGCAUACGUCCUGAGGGCGUACGUGGGGGAUCUUCGGACCUCACGCUAUCAGAUGAGCCUAGGUCGGAUUAGCUAGUUGGUGGGGUAAAGGCGUACCAAGGCGACGAUCCGUAACUGGUCUGAGAGGAUGAUCAGUCACACUGGAACUGAGACACGGUCCAGACUCCUACGGGAGGCAGCAGUGGGGAAUAUUGGACAAUGGGCGAAAGCCUGAUCCAGCCAUGCCGCGUGUGUGAAGAAGGUCUUCGGAUUGUAAAGCACUUUAAGUUGGGAGGAAGGGCAGUAAGUUAAUACCUUGCUGUUUUGACGUUACCAACAGAAUAAGCACCGGCUAACUUCGUG
This 484-nucleotide ribosomal RNA is filed under the name uncultured bacterium. RNAcentral's name for it is "partial 16S ribosomal RNA". It matches the Rfam family "Bacterial small subunit ribosomal RNA", at positions 30 to 507 of the family's 1533-position model. The record is from RNAcentral.